This is a long non-coding RNA of Daphnia carinata, 1037 nucleotides long. RefSeq lists it as uncharacterized. The transcript has 3 exons. The record is from RefSeq and is a predicted model, not a curated record. NCBI's taxonomy places the organism in Eukaryota, Metazoa, Arthropoda, Branchiopoda, Diplostraca, Daphniidae.
AUAAAGCUGGCCACACCUCGAAAGGCUGCCCGAAUCUAUUCAGUGAAUUGACGGAAGAUGGAAAGCUGCAUGGCAAUACAUUCUGGAAGCUGUGACAUGCGAUGAAAACGAACUGUUUAAGGGCAUCAUCUGUGGGGAACGCUUUAACAAUUUUGUUAAAGUUGUCCUUCAGGUUACAGGAAAAGAUGUACCUCAAUACAUAACACCAUUCGAAGAAGCCGGCCUGCGUCAACUACUACUUCAAAACAUUAAAAAUUCUGGCUACAGAAAACCAACACCUAUUCAGAAAGCUUCAGUUGCAGGCGGCGUACUUGGUACCGGUUUUGAACAUAUUGUUAGAACAAGGUGUUGCUGCUGCGUCUCGUGCCAUGGGGCAAAAGCCAGAAGUUGUAAUUGUCGCACCCACUCGUGAAUUGGCCAUUCAAAUUCACCGCGAGGCGUGUAAAUUCUCCUACAGUUCGGUUUUAAAGUUUGUGAUUAUAUAUGGAGGAACUGUCACGAGCCAUCAGCGGUCAAAUCUUCAAGCUGGGUGCAAUAUUCUUGUCGCGACUGCGGGGCGAUUCAAGGAUUUUCUCGACGGUGGAGUAUUUGACUUCUCAGGGGUGAGGUUUUAAAUUUUGGACGAAGCUGAUCGAAUGCUUGAUAUGGGUUUCGGCCCGAAUGUUGACAAAAUUGUCAACCAUCCAACGGUGAAUCCGAAAAUAUGUUCUCGAUUGCUUUUGAGUAUGAAAUUCGACUGAUGUAAUACUAUUUGUUUCUCUGUAGGGAAUCCGUCGUGUUGUAUAUUUUCGGCUACAUUCCCAGAUGAAGUAGAAGCGCUGGCUGCGACGUACAUGGAAGACUACAUAUUCGUCACAACAGGCAUUGUCGGUGGCACCAAUCCGGAUGUUGAACAGUGGUUUUUUCAGUGCUCGAAAAGAGAUAAGAGAGUUAAGCUGAUCGAAGUUUUACACGAUCUCGGUGAUGCCAAGACUAUCGUUUUUGUCGACAGCAAAAAGACGGCGGAUUUCGCCGCUGCAUUCUCGUGCAAUAACAAC